GACGAACGCUGGCGGCGUGCUUAACACAUGCAAGUCGAACGGAAAGGCCCUGCUUUCGUGGGGUGCUCGAGUGGCGAACGGGUGUGUCACACGUGAGUAACCUGCCCCUGACUUUGGGAUAACUUCGGGACACUGGGGAUAAUACCGGAUAGGAGCUCCUGCUGCAUGGUGGGGGUUGGAAAGUUUCGGCGGUUGGGGGCGGACUCGCGGCUUGUCGGCUGGUUGGUGGGGUAGUGGCUUACCAAGGGUUUGACGGGUAGCCGGCCUGGGGGGGUGACCGGCAACAUUGGGACUGGGAUACGGCCCGGACUCCUACGGGAGGCAGCGGUGGGAAAUAUUGCACAAUGGGGGGAAGCCUGAUGAAGGAAGGCGGCUUGCGGGAUAACGGCCUUCGGGUGGUAACCCGCUUUCGCAGGGAAGGAAGCGUGUGUGACGGUAAUGAGUAAAGAAGCACCGGCUAACUACGUG
Molecule: ribosomal RNA, 468 nt
Filed under: uncultured bacterium
Lineage: Bacteria
Description: partial 16S ribosomal RNA
Rfam family: Bacterial small subunit ribosomal RNA
Source: RNAcentral